Molecule: long non-coding RNA, 5385 nt
Filed under: Canis lupus familiaris (dog)
Lineage: Eukaryota; Metazoa; Chordata; Mammalia; Carnivora; Canidae
Description: lncRNA (ENSCAFG00040003430.1)
Source: RNAcentral
UCUUGCAUUUUUAAUGUGUUUUAAAUCUAAGAAAAUGAACAGGGUGGAAAUGAACAGAAGGGAAGCAAGAAAGAAGUGCGGUCAUCUGGAUGAUGAGGUCAGAAGUGAGAGCUAGACGGGAGAGCAAGUGUGGGAGGGGUUAAUAGACACACCGAGCAGAAAACAGUCUGCGGCAUGUUUGACUGUGGGACUCAGUGAGGGGGAGAAAUCUAAUUUGGCUCUGAGCUUUCUGGCUGUACUGAUUACAGCGAGAUACAGCCAGGAGCGGAUUCGGGAGGAAGCUGAUUAAUCUGGCAUCGGACACGCUGGGUGUGAAGGCUCAUGUUUCAUCCACGUGGAAGGCCUGGCAGACUCAAAUGAGAAGGAUGUACAAGUUCGGCCAACAGCCAUGCCUGUCUGGCUGUGUCUGCUAUGAGGGUGCAUGUGUACUGGAGGGAGCUGUGUUGGCACACAAAGAGGCUGUGGCACCAUUGCACCCUCAGGAACCAAAGGGAAUGGAAGAGGGAAUGAGCCCUAACCCACUCCGUGGACUUACUGCUCUGCUGGAAACACCAUAUGAAGAAGAAUAGGCCCUGAGACUAGAUGGAGAGAGAGGGGCUCAGCCGUUGCAGGGACCCAGCUGAGCCAGCUUUCCAGUCAUCCCUGCACAGUGGAUCAUCGUGGAGGAUUUAGACCUGCCUGCCAUCUAAUUGCAGCAGCAUUAAAGACCUCAAGACCAGCAGAACUGCCCGGCUAAGCCCCAUCAACCAUAGAGUUGGAAUGAUAAUGAAAUAACUGGGUUUUUUAAUUGAAUUAUGAUUGGCAUGCAAUAUUAUAUUGGCUUCUGGUAUAAAGCAUAUUGAUUCAGCAAUUCUGUAUGAUGGGACACCUGGGUGGCUUAGAGUUUGAACGUCUGCCUUCAGCUCAGGGCAUGAUCCCAGGGUCCUGGGAUUGAGUCCCACAUCGGGCUCCCUGCAGGGAGCCUGCUUGUUCCUCUGCCUAUGUUUCUGCCUCUCUCUGAGUCUCUCAUGAAUAAAUAAAUAAAAUCUUAAAAAAAAAAAAAAAAAACAAUUCUGUGCAUUACUCAGUGCUCACCCUGAUAAGUGUAGGCACCAUCUGUCAUCAUAUAAUAUUAUUACAAUAUUAUUGACUAUAUUUAUUUCCUAUGCUGUACUUUUCAUCUCUGGGACUUAUUAUUUUGUAACUGGAAGUCUGUACCCCUUAAUCCCUUUUAUCUAUUUCACCCACCCCCUACCUACCUCCCCACCAGUUUGUUCUUUCUACAUAAGAGUCUGUUUGUUGUUUGUUUGUUCGUUGGUUUUGUUUUUUAGAUUCCACAUAUAAGUGAAAUCACAUAGUAUUUGUCUUUCUCUCUCUGCCUUAUUUCACAUAGUAUAAUACCCUCUAGGUCCAUCCAGAAAUGCCUGUUGUUUUAAGCAUUAGGUUUUGGGGUGGCUUGUUAUACAGUAAUAGUCAGUCUACUUGGAGCUGAAGGUUAUAAAUAUACUAGCACUAAUUCUCACAAUAAUCUUGCCAGUGCUCUUCAAUUUACAUGAUAUGAAUUAAGACUCUGGAAUAUUAAAUUAGGUGUCAGGUAAGGCCAGGAUUUGAACCUCGUCUGUUAGCCCCAAAUGCCUGCCCUGCCUCCCAUUACCUUUGAGGAGCUCAGAGUCCAGCUGAAUAAGUGAGGUUUCUGUCUGCUCUCCGAAGGCCCCUUCAGUGCCCAGGGCAUCAGGGAACAAAAGAGCCCUGUGCAGGCUAUCACUUUUACCCCACAUCCUCUCUCCAUCCUUCUCCACCAUGCACCAUGUCUUGGGAGGUUUCACACCAUAGACUCUCUCAUCUGGGCUCACUUGUCCUCUGGUGGUCAGCUGGGUUCGGCCAGCAGUGUGAGGUGCCCAUGGAUGAUGCAAGGAUGUGGGAGAGAGAAUGUAAGGAUAUUUUUUCUUUGAUUCCUGAGGACUAGUUGUGUCCCUCUGGCUUCUGUCUGGUGACCCCUCUGGCACUCUGGCUCUCACUGGGCUCCAGUAACAUUGCUUUCUCUCCCGGUCCCUCCAGCCCUCGCCAUGGUAAGGCCUCCCAUUGCUAGUCUCUGUGUUCCUACCAACCCCAGUGUGUUCCUUUAACCCUGCACAUACUACUCCAUGUCUUCCUUCCUAGGAAUAACCUGAGGUACCUCGAGUUUGCUGCCAGGACUUCAACUGAUGUAAAUGUUUUUGAAAGGUAAAUAGCAAGCAUGUUUAUUCCUGUUACUUAAAGGAUAAAUGGUAUCAACCCAAUCCUUUACACCCUUCUCUUCCCAUAGGGAUAUGGUUGUCUUCUGCCUUAAUUUCUAGAACCAGCCCUGAGCUCAGGUUAGUAGGAUUUAGGAAGCCUCAGACCAAAAUGGCAGGGCAUACCUCAAUGCAUUCUUACUAUGGGGUCGGCUCUCAUCCCUUGAGUCCCAACUAAGUCCUGACCACAGUGCUGCCUUGGUUACAUGCUGAGUACCCACUACCUCCCAUCCCACCAGUUAGGGAGCCUGGCUCUUUUCUGCCAAACAUUCACUCCACCUGAGGACUAGAGUUGGGUUAUGAAAUACCACUGGCCAGUGAAUGAGUGGGGACUUCAUAUGCUGAAAUGUUGCUUGCUUGCUAAAAUUUCUGAGUAAUUCCUGGGAUGCCUGGUGACUCAGUUGGCUAAGUGCCUGCCUCCAAAACAGUCACCAUCUCAGGGUCCUGAGAUUGAGUUCCACAUCGGGCUCCACAGUCAUCAGGAAGUUUGCUUCUCCCCUCUCCCUCUGUGAUCUCUCUGGCUCUCUCUCAAAUAAGUAAAUAAAAUCUCCAAAAAAUAAAAUAAAAUAAAAAUUUUUAGUAAUUCCUGACCAUCAACUCUUAGAAGAGCCCUAGUUCAUGUUGAAUCUCCAUGAAAUCACAUUAUUAUCAAGAUUUCUUCCUGCUUCCAUUGCUAAAUGCCAUACAUUUUCUACUUGUCAGACCAGGAUUUCCUCACUUUCUGUGAUGGGCUACCUCUGAGUUCUGGUUUUUAACACGUGGAGCCCAAUCAGUCCGGCUCCCAGGCACCAAAGCUCACACAUCAUUCCUGUAAGCUAACAGUUUUGCUGAAACAUAUUGAAAAGAGUCUUCCUGUGAUUGUUUAAACCAAGUACACUUAUAGGUGCCAUUUGCUGCAGCAUGACAGUUCUGAAUUAAGUAAAAAUGGAUCAAUAAGAGUAAUCGUUGGGUUUUUAUCAUAAUGGUUGUUAGAAGCCACAGAGUCACCAUCUGGUAACUUAGGUAUUUGAGGAAGAUAGGAUUUCUUGGCAAGAGUGAGGCAAAAAUGAUUGUUAUACAUCCGAGAGAGCAUGGGAAGUGAAGAAGUAUGAAGAACCGGAAAAGACAAACAUUCUAGGGAAUUUCUUUUUCAAAAGAAACAAAGACAUGGAGGAGUAGCUUGAAGGGAAAUGGAAAUAAGGGAGUCCUUUGAAGAUUUUUUUGUAGAAGCAUUAUCCUUAGGAGGGGAGAGACACUUAGUGAUGGGACUCAAGGUCCCAAGGGGAAGGGCUGCCCAGAGCUAAAGACAGUUUAUCCAUCAUCAUCGGAGGGAAGGCAGGAUUAUGGGCAGAGAUGCAGAUAGUUUGGGAAAUGUAAAGAUAGGAAGUGGAAGUUUUUUUUUGAUGGCUUCCAUCAUCUCAGGCAAACAGUAAGCAGGAACCAGCUGAGAAUGAAAAAGAAGAGUUUGGGAAGAGAGAAGCUGUGCAGGGUCCCAUGGGAGUGUGAGUGAAGUGACCAGGGGUGGUGGACAAAGCCGAGUUCCUCAAGAAGUUUGGCUCCCUAAGCUCACAACCACACAUCCAGCAUGGCUGUGUUUUUCCUCCAGCUAUAUUCAACUCUUUGGAUAUAAGAGUGGAAUAAGCAGAGAAGCGGGUUGGAUCCACAUGGAGGUCUUGCCGGAUGAGCACAAUGAGAACAAGAGACCGUGUAACAGAGCAGAGUUAUAAUGAUGGGCCGUGGAAUCGAAUUUGAAGAAGAAGAGUAAGCAGCAAAGAGCAGAAAAUGGAAAAAAAAAAAAGGGAUAAAAAGGAUAAAAUGAAUAGAUUAGAAAUCUCAUAUUGAAAUUUCACAGAUUACACAGGGAAUUCUAAAUGCAAAAGGGUACUAAGAUUGAAUCCUUCUUUGGGAUUAAAGUAUGAUGUCAGAGAAAUUUCUUCAUCCUCUCCUUCUGCUUCUCCUUCUUCUUCUAGAAAUAUCCUAUAGGCCUAAAAGUCCUCUUUGAGUAGACUAAUUACUGAUGGAAAAGCAUGGAUUGAAAUCCUUUGAUAAAGAGGCAUAAAUACUAGUAGGUAGAGCAUGAAAGAAACAUAAAUACCUACCCCUUCAGCCAGAGUGUGAACAACUUCUAAUUGGGUUACUUCCAAAAUUAAAAAAAAAAAAAUUAUUUUAAAAGGAGAGGUAUAAAUUCAAGCAAAUAGCACUAGAAUGAUAUUGGGCCUAUUGGUUUCUACAAUUUUCAGAAAAAGAAAAAAAAAGUUUCUCCCAGGGAGAAAGAGCCCCAGGAAGUUCAGAGCAGCUGACCAAACUGCUUUGGUUCAUUUCCAUCUCCCCAUGCAGGCACAGCCUGAGUCACAGCUCACUCCUAAGUUGCGUACUUAGAAAAGCAAAUUAACUAUUUCAAGUCAGCAGGGAAAUUACACUUAUAGCAAUAGUAAUUGUAGAAGUGCGAAAUUGUGUGGCACUGACCAUAUGCUUUCCAAGGGGACUUUGCCACCAUGCAGAAGUGGUCCAUGGAGUUCUGAGAAGUCAACAGUAGCUUUAAAAAUAUUUAAGCAAAGUAGAAGAAAGUGGUAAACCGGGUUUCCCCAGAUAUGACCUAAUCUUACAUAUGGUAAUGAAUGGCUCAGAUAGACUUGUAAAUAAGCUAUGAAUCUGAUCUAGGAAGACCUUGGUAGCUUUUCUUUUUAUCUUUUAUGGACAGCUUCUGUGUUUUCCUCAACUGCAUUCCCAAGAGUAUAGGAAUUAGAUCAGAGACAUUUGUGGAAGGGAACUAAUACAUUCUAGGCAGGUGUGCAAAGGUAUAAAUUGCAUACUCUAUGCAACCGUGGCAUCCCCAGUAGCCUGGGUGUGUUAUAAAAAUUCCCCUUGGAGAAAUUCCAGGUUCUGUAGCUUCAUCUUUGUCUGGAUUUGAUACUCAUCUCCCAUGAGGGAGAUAGAAGAAGGGAACUAACAUGUUGGCUGCCCCACCAUGGACCAGACAUUCCUCACACAAGUCUGAUGCAUAGUAGGGAUGGGUAUUAUCAUCAGAAAAGGAAACUGGGUUUAAGUAAGUGAUGGAGCUGGGAUUCAAACCCAGACUAUAAAUCCAGUUGCAACUGAUUAAUAACACCUUGUUCCUUUGAGUGAACCAAACAGUGCUUUCAUUUUAAAGCUU